Anser brachyrhynchus (Pink-footed goose) is the source of this 1253-nucleotide long non-coding RNA. The record is from Ensembl. Lineage: Eukaryota; Metazoa; Chordata; Aves; Anseriformes; Anatidae.
GCACUGCUGGGGGUGGCAGAUGGGAGGUGGGCAGCAGGGGGAGGCGGCAGAGCCCAGCUCUGUGGCCCAGUCCUGAGGAUUCAGACAGGGACACCCUGUGCUUUUCAGCUGGUCACGUACACCUGUGACCCGAGUAUGUCUUCGGGUGAGCGGGAUUGUUUCUAUAACAAGGAAAUUUCUUCCUCCACUCCCAGCAUGCCAAAUGUCCUCACACAUGUGAGCUUUACGCUGUGUGUCCAGAAACUAAUGACAGUGGUCUCCUGCAAGACUGGCAUCUCCUCUCACUCUGCUCACGCGUGCCCGUGGCGAGUGGUGGCAGCAGGGCUCACCUGGCAGCCUCCGCUUUGCAGAACAGUGCAAGCAGCAAAGUCUGCAUUGCACCAUGAGGCACAGCGAUGUACUCACAGGGUGAGACUUGUCAGCUAAGGAUGAGACUGCAGCUCCACCCUGCCUGAGGGCACAUUUCAGAGCAGCCAUGACCUCCCCCAGUGGGGCUCGAGACCCCAACAGAGUUAGAGCUUUCUCAUUUUUGACUGCUGACCCUGGGUGUGAGACACAGAGGAACCCCACGUCCAGGGCUCAGUGCAGGACUGAGGUUUCAAUUAUUCUUCUAACGGAGCACGAGAAUCUUGCUCACGCUUGAAGUACCUCUCCUUGCUGCCUUGCCUUUCCUUGCCCUGGAGAGCAAGCACAGGGCUUUGCUCUGCCUCGGUGAAUCUGAAAUUUGGUGGAGUCUGAUUAAAGCUGCUGUGGGGGAUAAGAUAGGGCAACAGCUACUGGGGGUUACUCGGAGGGUUUAGUACAGUAAUGAUAUGGAUAUAUUUAGUGUGCAUCUAGUGUUCCUAUCGCCAUGUUCAGAGGUUUGGGGACAUAAAUUGGAUAAAUUAUUCAAGUGUGAUCGUCCUUUCUUUACUUGGAAGAAUCUAGAUUAAAAACUGUGAUUAUGGAUAGGCAUUAAGGUAAUAAUCUAUUUUAUUUCAGAGAUGGAGUCAUCUUGUACAUUUUUAUAUAUCACAUAAAUAUUAUAUCAGGAAAAAAAAUUGGGCUAAAUUUGAAGAAGAAGAUGAAAAAAACUAGCUGAAGGAGAUUCUGAACUGCUAAUAUACAUACGGGCAUACACUUCCAUCUCGUGAGCCCAGUGUGCUGAUCUAGUCCAAACUGAAUUCUGAAAGUAAUACUAGUUUAUACAAAAUAGUGAGUCUGUAAAUAUUCACCAUAGACGAAAAGGCUUUAUUCAACUAAGUGAUUAGGAG